GGCUCCUGGAAUAUUUAGGAAUGACCUUAAGAUAGACAAUGUUCUGCUUGAUGAGAGUCUCACCACGAAAAUCAGCAAUUACCACAUUCCACUGCCAUUCAAGAUGGGUUCUAAAACCGCAUCGAACGAUAGCAGUCCAAAAGAUGCAGAAAGAGAAGACAUGUAUCAGCUUGGGAAGAUUCUCCUGCAAGUCAUCACUGGGAAGCUAGUCAAGUCCACCAGUGAAUUGGACGACAUGAAACAA
Eucalyptus grandis is the source of this 244-nucleotide long non-coding RNA. RefSeq lists it as uncharacterized. The record is from RefSeq and is a predicted model, not a curated record. The transcript has 3 exons. Lineage: Eukaryota; Viridiplantae; Streptophyta; Magnoliopsida; Myrtales; Myrtaceae.